UUUCAGAGUACAAUGAUGCUUUAUUUUCCAAGCACAUAGCUGAUAUCAAUAUGCGGAAAGAUGAUACUGAGUGUUCUGGAA
Xenopus tropicalis (tropical clawed frog) is the source of this 81-nucleotide small nucleolar RNA. The record is from Ensembl. NCBI's taxonomy places the organism in Eukaryota, Metazoa, Chordata, Amphibia, Anura, Pipidae.